Molecule: long non-coding RNA, 364 nt
Organism: Junco hyemalis (dark-eyed junco)
Lineage: Eukaryota; Metazoa; Chordata; Aves; Passeriformes; Passerellidae
Source: Ensembl
GCUUGCUGGAGCACCUCCAGCUGUGCUGGAGGCGCUGUGGCCUCUCUCAUGUCCUUGCUCUGCUGCAGGUGAGGAAUGCCAUCCAGAGGAUGAAGGACAAGAAGAAAGCCCUCUCCUUCACAAACUGCUCUCAUCCCAUCAAUUACUUAUCCAGCCCAAGGAACACGAGCUCCUGGGACACAGGGAGGCCGAGUCCUGCCCCUGAGGCUGCCCUGCCCAGCCCAGUGCAGAGGGACCCUCCAGUGAAGAGCAUCACCAGCAGAGGAAAUUUUGGAGCCAGAAUUCCCAUGGGCAUCUCAUCCAUCAUGUCCCCCGAGAGGCCGGUAUGUAACAGCUGCUGUUCCUCACCUGCACCCCUGGCAGG